Musa acuminata AAA Group (dessert banana) is the source of this 3524-nucleotide long non-coding RNA. RefSeq lists it as uncharacterized. Lineage: Eukaryota; Viridiplantae; Streptophyta; Magnoliopsida; Zingiberales; Musaceae. The transcript is spliced from 2 exons. The record is from RefSeq and is a predicted model, not a curated record.
GAAUCGGCUAAACUUUUAUAUGUUGAUUGUCUUUUACUUAGGCUUUUGGCAUCUUGUGUCUGCAAAAGGUCGAAAUGGCUUCUGGGGUUUUGGUAUCAUAUAAGGAAGUAAAGCUUAUAUAUUUUCAGAAAUUUUAGCAUUUUUAGAUGAGCAAUGCAUUAACAUUUGUGAAUUGACCCAAGAAAUGACACUGCUCAUCUUAAUCUGUGGAUCAUAAAGGGAGAAGAUGCCAUUCACCUGCAGAUCUGAGUCAUUUCUAAGACUCUAAAGUAUAAUUUAGCGCUACAACAAAUAUUCAUAUUACAUUAUCCACCUUAUUGAGUGUUUAUUGGAUCCCUAUUCCACAAUUACUUACUAGUACUAUUGUUAUUAUAUAAUUGUUGUUGCCAUUAACAACAGCAGAAUUGUGAUUGUUGUUAUUAUUAAGGACUUUCUGUUGUUCUAUGAAUCCGCUUAUUUUUUUAGUGUCUCCAAUUAUUCUUACGAUUGCUUCAUGCUAACAUGUGUCUCAUGAAGACCUAGCCGUUUCCCAUAAUGUUCCUUUACUAUUUUGCAUGGCUUUAUACUCAGCUUCUCAAUUAGUUUAUUCUUGAUAGUUUUAUCUAUAAUGUUAUGUUCCAUUAUAUUCUAUUGUUUGUAAUCUUGUGCUUUCUUGUUCUAUAAACUUAACCAAGGGUAACAAACAAGAUGCUGGCUAAGGUAGAAAACGAGUAGCCCAACAUGUUAUAUAGAGUAAACAGGAAUUUCAUGUCCGUGCUUGACAUGAGUGAUGAUUCAAAGCAUAAAUUUGAGAAACAAGUUUAUCAGUUUCUCUCUGCUUAUUGGUUAGGUUGAUCAUAUUUGUAGUGUUUAGUCAAUAUCUAGGUUGAAUUACUGGGCAGACAAAUUGAACUGCAAUUUCUUGGAUGGCCACACUGUAAAUUGACAUAGAAAAAAGAUGUCUGCUAAUCGUCUCAAAUUGUUGUUUCAUGAACAAGGCUGAUCUCUAACCAAAGACACUUAGAUUUGAUAUGAAAGAAAGUUCUUCCAAUAAUCUUUAUGAAGCCAAUCUUAAAUCUCAAUGGUCAAAUAGAUGGUCUUGGAUGAAGAGAUGGCUCAAGCAUGAAAGAUCAUAAUGUGUGGCAGUCCAAAUUGCUUUUAAUGCAUUGGUUUCAUCAGAAAACAAUGAUGGUUAUAGCCAAUAGCUUGCAGUCGAACAUAAGGAACUCCUUUUCUUUUGUUUUUUAAACAUACAGACAACUCAAUAAUACCAUUUCUCAAGAAGCUUUAGAGGCAUAUCUCUUUGUGUGCGUGUGCGUGUGUUUUUUUUUUUAUUUUUAGUUUGGCAUUGUAGCAAGCUAGAGCUAAAAUAGUUAUCAUUGUUUUUCUCAGUGAUGUUAGAGAAGGUUAGGAAAUGCAUGACAGACAAGGGAAGCUUUAACCUAUUCCUAAUUAUCUAAACAAGAAAAUAACUAAUGGCUAUUAGGUGAGCGGAGAUCAUCAGGAUAUGCCUCUAAGAAAACCUUAUAAAUAUAGAACAAUACAAUUUGCCACUCUCUCAUCUUUCCUGUUUAGGAUGCCAGUUGCCUUCUUGUUCAUUUGACAGUAUUAUCUGCAAGAAAACAAAUUACUUGAUUAGGUACUAGAAACAUUCAAUCUUUUAUUUAAAAUCAUAAAAAGACUGGAUAAUUAAUUGGGUAUAGAAGAAAAUGUAGCAAGUACUAGAACCUUUUCGACCAUUUUCUCAAUCAUUCUCUUUUGUUGUGGAUAGGAAAGUUAUGUAUUUCUUUCUUAAUUUCUAUAUAAUUGUGAAACAUUUCUAGACAAAUAUACUAAUAAUUUUAUAUAUAUUCACCAAAUCUGAUGGGCCUUUGGCUUAGUUUUCUUUUACCUAUUACUAUUAUAAUUUACUCCUUUGUCAUCUGAAGUUGAUUGCAAGUGACCUGUCCUUAUCAAUAGAGUAUCUUUGUUAAAAUAGUGCACUAGUCCAACUUCAUACCUAUUAUAUAUUGAAACUUCCAGUGGCUUCUGCUUUCCACUUUCACUUGCAUUGUCUAAACCCCUAAUCAUGUAGCAGUGAGCUCAGCAUGCAUGCUCAGGAUGAUAUGACCCUUUCUUUGUGUAGUUUUCCUUUUGUAAAAUAGGCUUCUAUAUUUUUAUCAUCUCGAAUGAGCUGAGCAUGUUAGCACCUGAUUUACUGUAAUCACGCAAGUAGUUAUGGUAUUAAUUUGGUUAUCACUUUCAAAUCUUACUCCAGGGAAUCUGCAAAUAGUAGUCAAACCUUAAUUUUUGAAAUGUACUAAACAAAUGUUAAAAUAUAUGCUUAUGGUUGAUGACCUAUUUCUGGGACUUGAAUGGUUGACAAGGGAAGGAAGUAUGAUGCGGACUCUAUAAUUCUUUUAUUAUAUUAUUUCAAACUUUUAAAGAUUGAUCUAGUUGUACCUGCUAUGAUUAAUAGUGUCACAAUUGACUCUACCAGUUCAGGUCUACAUUCUAAGAUAUGCAGUUUAUCUGGAGAUUUUUGGCUGUUGAUUUAGAUGCUUGCCUGAAAUGCAUCUUAAAACUUUGUGUUCUAUACUUCAAACUUCACAGAGAUUUAUAUUUUUGAUGAUCUAAAUUCUCCAUCUGGGAUCCAUUUAUGGGCCACAUUGAGUUUGAGUAGCACUUUCCUUUCGCAUACAAAUGCAUCAAAAGUUAAAUUUAGAUGUAGAGGCAAUUUGCAAUAUGUACACGUUAAAUAUUCCAAUCAGUCAUUGCACUUUUGUAACUACGAACACAUGUAGGGGGCAUUUGGUUGCCUGCAACUGAAAAUUUCUGUAAAUAACACUUGCAGGUAGAAGCAAAAUCUGCAAGGAGUAACUGCUGGCACAGCUGUUUGGAUACAUGCAUAUCAAGUUGCUACUCGUGGUUGCAAGUUGCAACUAAGGUAGAAGACAUGCUAUCCAAACUGGAAGAUUGACUGGCCAGAACAGCUGGGGCUAUUCUGCUAUGAUAAAUGGGAUAAACUAUUGUGCCGACAGAGUAUAUGGCAGGUAGAUAUGCUUUUCAUGGGGCCCUGAGGAAAUAGAGAAAAAAGGUAUAUGCUACAUUGUUCUGGUAUUUGUAGGUGGCUAAUAAAUUCGUGCUUUGGUGAACAAUUAUUAUGUAGAUGUGUGUUUGUACCUAUGUCUGAAUACGUCUAGGUACAGACGGAUGUUGUUUCAAUUAGCUUGUGGGUCACUCUUGAUGGUUGAUGCUAAUCAAGUUUUCAGGAUUGUGUUCUCUGCUUCACAAAUUGCUGACAAAUAUUUAUGGUGCUCUAGAAGUUGUGCAUGAUAAUGGUGGGAGGGGGAUCUACUACCAUCGAGAAGGGGACUGUAAGAUGACAGGCUCUUUGUUCCUUGUCUCUCCCAAAGAUAACAUGGUCAUCCUGAUGACCUAUGAACCUCAUGUGUCUGCUCUAUGAGAGAGUAGGAGAAUUGGUUUGAGGAUACAAAACAUUAGGCUUUGCCUUAUAAUAUUUACCUAGCAAGAUUUCAAAUAUAAGUUGGAUUGGCAUGUAUCAA